GGGCCUAUAGCUCAGUCGGUUAGAGCAGCGGACUCAUAAUCCGUUGGUCCACAGUUCGAGUCUGUGUGGGCCAA
RNAcentral lists this transfer RNA (74 nucleotides) under Acinetobacter baumannii. Its description in RNAcentral is "tRNA-Met". It matches the Rfam family "tRNA". From Rfam's summary of the family: Transfer RNA (tRNA) molecules are approximately 80 nucleotides in length. Their secondary structure includes four short double-helical elements and three loops (D, anti-codon, and T loops). The record is from RNAcentral. Lineage: Bacteria; Pseudomonadati; Pseudomonadota; Gammaproteobacteria; Moraxellales; Moraxellaceae.